This 460-nucleotide ribosomal RNA is filed under the name uncultured bacterium. RNAcentral describes it as "partial 16S ribosomal RNA". It matches the Rfam family "Bacterial small subunit ribosomal RNA", at positions 338 to 795 of the family's 1533-position model. The record is from RNAcentral.
CCUACGGGAGGCAGCAGUGAGGAAUAUUGGUCAAUGGACGAGAGUCUGAACCAGCCAAGUAGCGUGAAGGAUGACUGCCCUAUGGGUUGUAAACUUCUUUUAUAUGGGAAUAAAAUGUUCCACGUGUGGGAUUUUGUAUGUACCAUAUGAAUAAGGAUCGGCUAACUCCGUGCCAGCAGCCGCGGUAAUACGGAGGAUCCGAGCGUUAUCCGGAUUUAUUGGGUUUAAAGGGAGCGUAGGUGGUCUGUUAAGUCAGUUGUGAAAGUUUGCGGCUCAACCGUAAAAGUGCAGUUGAAACUGGGAGUCUUGAGUACAGUAGAGGUGGGCGGAAUUCGUGGUGUAGCGGUGAAAUGCUUAGAUAUCACGAAGAACUCCGAUUGCGAAGGCAGCUCACUGGACUGCAACUGACACUGAGGCUCGAAAGUGUGGGUAUCAAACAGGAUUAGAUACCCGGGUAGUC